AGAGUUUGAUCCUGGCUCAGAGCGAACGCUGGCGGCGUGCUUAACACAUGCAAGUCGAACGCGCAGCACUCUGUAGCAAUACAGGGUGUGGGCGCGUGGCGAACGGGUGCGUAACACGUGGAUAACCUUCCUUCAGGUGGGGAAUAACCCAGUGAAAAUUGGGCUAAUACCGCAUAAAAAGACGAUGGCACAUGCUGCUGUCUUCAAAGCCGCAAGGCGCCGGAAGAGGGAUCCGCGGCCGAUUAGCUAGUUGGCGAGGUAACGGCUCACCAAGGCAUUGAUCGGUAGCCGGACUGAGAGGUUGGCCGGCCACACUGGAACUGAGACACGGUCCAGACUCCUACGGGAAGCAGCAGUGGGGAAUCUUGCACAAUGGGCGAAAGCCUGAUGCAGCAACGCCGCGUGGGGGAUGAAGCUUCUCGGAGUGUAAACCCCUUUCGACCCGGAAGAAUGCCCGCAAGGGUUUGACGGUACGGGUAUAAGAAGCCCCGGCUAACUACGUGCCAGCAGCCGCGGUAAUACGUAGGGGGCCAGCGUUGCUCGGAAUUACUGGGCGUAAAGGGUCCGUAGGCGGUGUGGCAAGUCGGGAGUGAAAUCUCUGGGCUUAACCCAGAGGCUGCUUCCGAAACUGCUGUGCUAGAGUGUGAGAGAGGCGAGUGGAAUUGCGGGUGUAGCGGUGAAAUGCGUAGAUAUCCGCAGGAACAUCCGAGGCGAAAGCGGCUCGCUGGAUCACAACUGACGCUGAGGGACGAAAGCUAGGGGAGCAAACAGGAUUAGAUACCCCCGUAGUCC
This 792-nucleotide ribosomal RNA is filed under the name uncultured bacterium. RNAcentral's name for it is "bacterial SSU rRNA". It matches the Rfam family "Bacterial small subunit ribosomal RNA", at positions 8 to 796 of the family's 1533-position model. The record is from RNAcentral.